UACGUAGGGUGCAAGCGUUAAUCGGAAUUACUGGGCGUAAAGGGCGUGUAGGCGGGAAUGUAAGUCGGGCGUGAAAUCCCUAGGCUCAACCUAGGAACUGCACGCGAAACUGCGUUUCUUGAGUGCCGGAGAGGAAAGCGGAAUUCCUGGUGUAGAGGUGAAAUUCGUAGAUAUCAGGAGGAACACCAGUGGCGAAGGCGGCUUUCUGGGCCUUACCUGACGCUGAGGAGCGAAAGCGUGGGUAGCGAACAGG
Molecule: ribosomal RNA, 253 nt
Filed under: uncultured bacterium
Lineage: Bacteria
Description: partial 16S ribosomal RNA
Rfam family: Bacterial small subunit ribosomal RNA
Source: RNAcentral